Molecule: long non-coding RNA, 34423 nt
Filed under: Physcomitrium patens
Lineage: Eukaryota; Viridiplantae; Streptophyta; Bryopsida; Funariales; Funariaceae
Description: long non-coding RNA (PPAT_LNC009424)
Source: RNAcentral
AGAUCAAUUGGUGCAUAAUUGCAUUGCGGAGCCGAGUAGAUCAGUGAAAUGAGGAGAUCGAGACGAGGCAUGAAGUUUGAGCAACCGAAGACGGCACCAACGCUCAAUGACAUGACCUACGCUGUAUGCACAGCUCCGCUACACGCCACAAAAACGAACUUGAAAAAGUAUUGGUGCCUCUUCCGAAUCAGGGAAUAGUAUAAAGGAGUCAAACUAAAGUAAGAAAGAAUGUCUUCCUACCUGGUAUCAUCAUCACUUAAGAUAUUGUCGACCACAUCGAUGGCGUCAAUGGCAUCGAUCUCAUCGUCUUCAUUCAAGAUAUUGUCAACGGCAUCAAUAUCUUCUGCCGCUUGCAAUUGAUCCAUGUCAUAUUCGUAGUACCGAAGAUCACUGUCAGACCCAGCUUCUGCACCAUCGAGGUCUUCUGCCAGGUGCAAAAGGUAAGUCAUGUCGCCACCAUCAUCGCCAUCCAAACCUUCGAUGUACCCCAUUUCCAUGUUGAAUGUGGAAGUCAAGCACAAGAUACUAAGCUCGGGUGCCGCUUCCAGCCUCUAUUCAACCGACGGCACUUCACCCACGAGAAAGAUUCUCUUCGGCAUUCAUCUAGAAUACUGAUCCCGCCCAGCUACCAGUAUCACUUAAAAAUUUGACGGACUGCCCUGCGAUGAGACAAAAUCACUAGGCAUUAGACAUCAAAACUCACAACAGCCAAAUCGGGAAAGCCUCUGCGUGCACGACCUCAUCAGGUGUCUACAGAACCACAAAAUGCAUAUUCGAUUCCACUGCAACACAAUCCGAAUCACGUCAAUUGUAAUAUUAAUGAACAGUGAUAUCACUACUUAAUCUAAGUCGAGUUAUGUCAAUGGACCACUAACAGUAUCACAGGUUUUGGUACCGACGGUGAUAGUUCAGAAUCCCGCGGAGAAAGACAAGUGUGUCGCAAGCCUGGCAUGGCUCAAGCCACACUACUGUACCACUCAGCAUCCUCCGACACUCUGCGUGAAUGCAUGAAUGUAAGAACCUUACAGUUCACUUUUGCUCCAAGGCUAACUUUUGAGGUUUGCUCGUGUUAAUGACCAAGAUCGACGCUGAAGAUGUCUCUGCCCUACCAGAACUCCUCAACAUACUUGCUGGACAGGAAAUUUAGUGCCCUACUAGCUUGGUUGAUGCAAACUUUUACUAGAAAAGGACAUAUUAACUGACUUACAGUACUCCGGAUACAUCCUUGCAAGUCACCAGUCACAUAGUAUUACAAGAUAAGUAUACAAGAGACACGAUUUCUUAAGCUUUCACUACCCUUCAGAACCGUGCUCCACAUUGCUCAAUUGCAUGCCAUUCAUACAAAGUGCGAGGGUUCCAGGUCAGUAACUAUUGUCAUCCUACGAACUCUACACCGGGCAGAUUCACUUAAGAGUACUACAGUGUGCUGUGUUCGUCAACUAGUUGAACUAGAUCGGCUCCGGCUCCAAAAAAAAGCAACGUAACUCGGUUAUAACUGAUGCGCUACUCCCCUUGAUAAACCGAAGAGAAAGGAAAGACGGCAAAGACACCCAUAGAAUGAAGGACGGCAUCCUAUCCCACCCUACUCCCAUGCUAUUAGUUCCAGGUUCCAUCGCGCACACCAACAUAGGAUACUCCAUUACAAUGCUCUUUUGUCCUUUCUCCAGGUUCGCGUAAGCAAUAAGGCCCUACCUUUCUCCCGCUCCCGUGAGUGGCUGGAUAAUGGAAGCAGACCACCCGAGACAUAACCGCCAGGACCAGAUUCCUCUCCUUCCACCGCGCGAUGUAUUCUACAGCAUCACUAUGCUACCCCUCGGUAGUAUUGCUCAAAGCCCCCUCGUAGCACACAUGCAUGCCCCCCCCUUGAGCUCGACACAGCGGUAGAUGAAGCAGAAAAUGUUGGCCACUUUCAACGCCUCGCAGAACUCACACAUAACCUUUCAGAAUGUACCUUGGUGGCAAAAAAGUCUGUCCAAGUACGAGAGCCUCUGAGCACAAGCCACGGCGCAAGAUAUCUACAGCGAGAGGAGGGUCGCGCUACCAAAAUUCAAGUGCAUUAAACGGCUCCCACUAAGUGACAGUAGUGGAUUGCCAAGUCCGUCCCUCACAACCGAAACAGCGUCAGAAGGAAUUUUUGGUGUAGAAUCAACAGUUCAUUCCCUUGAAGAGCCAUAACUAGGUCAUCGAAAAAGGAAACCUAUGAUUGACACCGAAGACAAUGGUUUAUCCACCCCGCCAGCAGCCUGCGAACCUUCCCCAAGUCAAAAAGAAAGCUGAAAUUGAAAGAAAGAAAGAAAUGGUCUACCAGCCCAUCGCUCUCAGCUAAAAUAAAAUUAAAAUCCUUGGAACAAAUACAGUUGCAGGGAGACGUAUGCCUAAAGGACUUCAAAGCAGAACCUCUUCGACUUCCUACGCGCUUUCCAAAAAGUCUCACAAACACCUCUUUAAUUACAGGUGAGUACGUCGAAGAGCACGCCGCGCGCAGGAAAAGAAUUCAGCGCUCACCAGCUCUCUCUCGCUGUGGUACGAUUCUCCUCUCAAACCAACGACGCAUACUUACGAAAAUUGUGUCAGUUUCGGAUCAAAUAUGACCGUGACGUCAAGAAGAUCCCGCAUUCACUCAACCACCUAUGCUACCGGUAUCGCCCUGACACCGAUAAUCUUACCCCCCGACCUUUAAUCUCCCGCUAAAAAAUAUCCCCGCGCACUUUGUCUCUGCCGCAUGUGCUCCAAACAAUGGUAGCCACGCAAUAUCUCAACUCCCCCCGCGAGCUCGGUAACAACGGACGUAAAGACGGAACGGAGGAGUCGGAAUAAGGCAAGGGAAUGAGGAGAAAGCGCUGGGAGCUAGCUUGCUAGCAGGGCUGGAUGGGAUGGUGUGGUUGAGAAGGAGAAGGAGAAGAAGGAGAAGAAGGAGGAGGAAGAGCGUCGUCGUGGUGGAGGUGGUGUGGUCAUCGAGAUUUCUGCGGCUGCUUUUUUCCUCUCUCGCUCUCUAUCUGUCUUCAGCGCCCCCUCACCGACCAGCCUGACACAUCGCAAAAGCGCCACCAUGGAAAUCGGUUGCAGGCACGGAAUCAUCGCCCGAGCCCUGCCGUGCCGCCGGCACCUUGCAGCAGCAAGUAGCAAGCGCCUCUUUCCCUCCCUCUUCCCGCUUUUGCUUCCUCAUCCCGGCGGUUGCUGCUGCUGCACUGCGAUGACGACGACGCGGUGGCUCGCGCCCAUCCUGUGCGUGCACUUGCGCACGAAAGGGGACGAACGGACGGACGAAACCACGACUUCGGCGACCGAUGGACGGCUACAUCGUGCCCCUGGCGGACGGAUGGGCGGUGACGGCCGGCCGGCUGCUGUCUCGUCCCAGAGUCAGGAGGACAUGAAACCCACAGUUCGAGGUGUCUGAUGUCUUUGACAUGACCCCAUUGGCGCCUCCUCACACGUUGAAUGGGCUCCCUCAGCCCUGCUGCCUUCCUUCUUCUUCUUCUGCCUUUCUCACUACCAGUAGUGAGUGGUCUUUUCACUUGGGAACGUGACACAACACACUGUUCCUUGUCUGGGAACACAGAGAAUGGGUGACCACUGUGUUAGGGCUUGGAAAAGGAGUUGUGCCUUGUGGGGUGGGUUAAGGCUUAGUUGGACUUGGAUGUGAGAGUAGAAGACACAGAAGUUCUUCUGUGGACUUUGAGUAUAAGAGGGGGAGGAGGAACUCAUCAUCAUUAAGGUGCCUCAAAUCUUGAGGCAUGGCUAUAAUAUAAAUACCAUUCAAGCAGAGAUGAAGCCAGUCAAGCUUUGCUUUGGAAAAGGUGUGUGUUUCCACUUGGGCCACAAGGUCUAACUUGGUUCCCAGUUUGUAUGGCUGGCUGGCUGGCUGGCUUGCUUGCUUGCUGGGUUUCGUCACACUCUGGGUGCCCAGGACAGUUCCACACAUGAGACUGGAUGCGUGUAAAGGGGCCCAGAACAUGGACUCAGUAUGUAUGUGCCAAUGUCGGUUUGAAGUGGAGGUGAUCGUGUGGAGUCAUGGGAGUGGACAUCCAAGUAGUAUAUGGCAUUAUUGCUCCUUUGGUGACAUAAUGAAUAGGAAAAAUACAUUAUUUUUUUUGAAAAUGCCAGUCCAAAGGGGAAUGAUAUGCAUCCAAAAUACAGGUCUACAGUAUCAUUCCUUUAUGAUCUCACAUUCUCUUUCUCUUUAUCUCUAAGCUCAGGCAGUUUUGUCCUCUGAAAAAGUAGUCAUGGCAGCCAACCUGUGGGAGGUUUGGGUUUUAUCUUUUGUAUCCACAUCAUCUGUCACAAAAAACAAUUUAAAAAAAUAGGGGAAAAUAGGGCAACAGUACUGCAAGGAAAUUGAUUACUUGGGCAUGAGCAACCCCACUGCAUCCACUAAUUCCAUCACCAUGACCUUGCUACUACUACCUUUAGCCCCAAGCUCAUUAAAGUUGCCACAUAGUACAGGUCUGAAAAAGUAGCUUGAAGUUAAAACAAGGUUUAUCCAGCAGCACAACUGACACCACCCCCACCAUGAUGGGAGCCACAGGGUGAAAAUUAGGGCAGGCAAGAGAAGAAGCUUCAGUUGGGCCAUUCCAGACAAACCUCCCUCUCAAGGCAAUUCAGUCUGUGUGUUUUUUAUACCAUGUGCUCCAGGGUUACUUUUUUUCCCCCACUUUCAGGCCCAAGCUUGUGCUUUGCUGGGUUGGUUCUUGAAAGAACAGGAAUGUCAGGUAGAUCAUAUUAUUCCAUAUUAUAUAUUACAAUCAGGCAGCAAAGCAGGAGGAAAUCUCUGCCAAAAACAGGACCCCAGAUGCCCAUGAAAUUUGUUUUUAACUUCUUAAAAUUGUGCACCAGGUACAGACCUUGUUUAGUGUAAAAUAAAACAUCAAAAAGUAAAAAAGUACAAAUUAAAAAUCUUGCCAAUCCCCUCUCUGUCUGAACUGACCAUUCCCCAAAAUAAGUCUUUGCACAACCUCUUAUUCCAUAUCAAAUCCAUAUGCUUAAAGGUACACUGGAAUUGUAUAUGCUUAAAAUCCAUAUGGUGCAUUGUAUUCCCCACAAGAGCAGCAGGUAUGGUUAUGGAUGAACGUUCUUCAAGCGUAACAUAUUCCAACGAAAGUAUGUUUGUGCAUUAGUGGGUUUACAUAUAUAUAUAUAUAUAUAUAUUUUAGAGGAAAAAACAAUGGGAACAAAGAAUCUGAUGAAAAUAACCAAGAAUGAGACAGAGAGAGAGGCAGAGCAACAAGGGUAAGGAAACGGGCAGCGCUGAUUGGAUAGAGAGCGAAAGGCACGACAACCCAACAACGAUAACCCCCCUCCCACCGCCCUCCUUUUCCAGCUAAAAAGGCUCCCUAAAAAACCAAUGCUCGGUCAGCCCAGAUAAAUCACGUGUCGUCAUUAGCUUCCAAAAUUAUUAAUAAAACAGACGAGCCCAAUUGAACGAGGGCUCGCUUUAAUCCUUUUUUCCCUUUCUUUUAUUCCCCUCUGCCCGGCCCGGCCCUGGUGCCACACCCCUCCCCCCCGAUUGGUGAAACGUGGACGCAACUCUGGGUUGAAUUGUGUCGGAUUGCGGAGCCCUCGCAACUGAUUGGCUACUCGAAGAAAGUUACUUUUGGACUAUAGCGUGCAUCUUUUCUUUUUCGCAUUAGCUUUUCCUUUCAAAAUCACGGGUCCAAUGACCCCCCCGCGCUGGAAAUAGCACCCACCCCACCCAGUCUUCCGAAUCAGCUCCGCCUACGCUUAAUGUGAUUACGCCUCCUCGUUUUGUUCGUCUGGGAGCGAGUUCUCGUCUCCAAUUCGUGCCGAAAAUCCCUCCCGAAGAUCGCCUUUUCGGUUACUUUCUCUCGGCUGAUCUUUUGCUGGCGACGGAAAUGGGGAGCUGUGUGAGCAGAUCAGGAGAACCAACGGAGGCUUAUCGAAAAGCCUGAGCUAAUCGAAGAACGCGGUUGCGCUUCAAGUUUCCCUGAAUUUUAUGCCCCCCACGAGGCUUUCUCUUGAUGAGAGCUCCGUGAUGGGGUUUGUAUUUAUGGGGCCGUCCUUCCAGGUCCUUCCCCAAUAUCGUAUCUCUCAAGUGCAAGUCUACUACGCGUCUAUUACGCGUAUGAACGUAUACUAUACGAUGGGGGAACACGUAAUCGCCUCCCGUGGGAGAGCAGCGGGGCUUUUAGGGUUUUAUGAGUAGGCAGCCAGCUGGACCCCAAGAAAGGACUUGCUGACAUGGAUGGUGACGUGGACGAAUUAUGGGCAGUGAGAUGUUGAAAUCAAUUUUUAUUUAUUCAUUUUAUAUUAUCUCUUUCCUUUUUCCUUUUUGUGGACGCAUGCAGAGGUUGACAUUCACAUUCAUAUCAUUUUCCCAAGAGCUGUGAAAUCACAGUGUGCUUUUUUCAUUGUGUGUGAUGGGGAUCUUUUAUCCACCCAAUCCAGUGGGGUAACAGAGGAAGAACGAAGUAGUCCAUGUCGUAGAUUAUUAAUAAAUCAACCCCCACCCUCACAUGCUCAGCAGCUCACAAUCAUGAACAAAAUUGACACUACAACUGCUGCUGCAAUGUAACUUCCAGGUUCCAGUUGCAUGCAUUCCCUUAGAGAUUGUGAAAAUGACCUUAGAGCAAUAAAGUAAGUAUACCACAUUCAUGGAGGGACAGCCAAAUCUAAUAUAUUUCCCAGUUUGUUUCCCCUUGCAAAGGAAUGAAUAUUCAUUCACAAGGGGAUUAUUCCUCCUUCUUAGCUUUGAUUAUUAUUUAUUCCCCAGGGUGAGGUGAUUGGUUCUGCAUGAGGCUGGCUGGCUGGCUGGCUGGCUGGCUGGUUGGCUCUCUCUCUAUGUUUAGUGUAGUGUAGUAGUGUGGACCCAAAGCCCAUUAUGGAGUUGGAACAGUCAUCUUCAGCAGGGGUGGGGGGGAGGGGGGAUGCCCAUGCAAUGGCAUGCACCCUCAGUGAAUGAGGAGGGAUGAGAGCAUGCAAUGGCUUUGCAUGGUUGUUGCUGACUCAGCCUUGGGCAAAUUCCACUGCUGCUUUGGUCCAGCAUUGCAUUGUAGUUUGGAUGAACGUCCAACGAAUGCCGUCCAUCUGGGGUGCCAGUUCUGUUCACCAUGUUCAUUGUGGUGGUUUUCUGUAUAACACUAGUGGAAACCCAUGCCAUCAGUGAAGAAAAAUAUUUAUUGAAAAUUAGAAUUGAGAGCUUGCCAUUAGUAAUCUUGCAAUACUACUCUCAACAAUCUGUAACAAAAGCACAUAGUUUUUAUCAUCUGUGAUUGAUCAAAAGUUGAGUUAUUGCUUCAUUUUGGAUGGAAACAAUGAGAUAUGCAGCCAAUUAGAGAUGGUUUUUGUCUCCUUGGGUGUGUCCCAUUGGUUUAUUCUACUAAGUUGUUUUGUUUAAGAGAUAGAAUGAUCAAGGUGGGCUUCAUCACUUGGAAGAAACUAGUGUUAUACAUUAUAUGAUUCCUUCAUUAAGAUUGUUUUUAUAAUUUAUUAAGAUAAAAAAAAAAAAAAAACAUCCAACACAAUGAAACUUCGUUCAAUUUUGAGAUUUAUUUUGUUUUAUUUUAUUUUUUAUCAUUUAUUCUUUACGUCUAAUUAAACCCUUCAUAUUUAACUAAUUUAAAAAAUUGGAACUACAAUCAAAGAUGUUAACUACAUGGAGACAUUUGAUUGCAUUAAAGGACAUGCAUUACCAAUUAUAAUUUAGACAAUCUAAGAUGUAAAUUAAUCACUUUGUAGGUAAAUUUAAAGUAUAUAUAUAUAUAUAUAUAUAUAUAUGUGUGUGUGUGUAGCAUUUGUCUAAAACCAAUAAAUGAUAAUGGUGUGAAUUAGCAAUAAAUUAUGAUUUAUUGCUUUUACAACAGCAUAUACAUGCAGAUUAGACUUGAAUGAAGACACUGUUCUCCUUAAAUUCUUUGUUCCCAACUUUCUGUACAAUUGAGCCAAUUUCACAAGGAUGUUAAAACCAUACUUACCCAACAAAUAUACUAUUAUUGAAAUAUUAGUUGUUAGAGUGGUGAUUUGAGAAGUGUUUCAAAUUCUCGAAAAUUCAUUGUAUACCCAUACAAUACACAGCUUGUUUAAUAUUUAUUAUUCUUAUUUCUUAAAUGUGUAAUAAUCUAUGUUUUACUGGAAUUUUACAACUUUGCAUUCAACAAUUCUUUUUUGCAUUUGAAGUAUUAGGAUAUUUCCAAAAUUUAAAUACAAAAUUUUCAAAUAAAUUAAUACAACACGUUUUGUAAAUUUGAAAAUAUUUGUUGUUUAAUAAAUUUCUAUAAUAAUGAUAACAAUAAAUGAUGCAUUGACUUUUCAAAAUUACUACACAUAUUACAUCAGGUUUUACUGCACAAUAGAAAUCAACCAAUUUCAAUUGCCAGACUUGAAGGUGAUAUAUUUCGUUAUGUUCUGUAUUAUAGAAUUUACAUAUAUAUAUAUAUAUAUAUAUAUAUAGAGAGAGAGAGAGAGAGAGAAGCUUUUGCAGACAGUAAUUGAGUAGGCUAUGCCACACUGGACUAGGAAAUGUGAUGUGAGAAUGAAGGUUUUGGGUCCAAUUCCCAGCACAGGCAAGUUAUCGGAGCAUUUGGUGCUGCUCUCUCUAUUUCCGUUUGCAUGAGGUGCCCCCUUUGUUUUAUUGUUUGUUGUAUUAUCUACAAAGAGAUGGAUAAUAAAUUAUUUGUAUCUCAACCAUAGAAACCCUUAUAAACCACACAGUGCUUGCAUUGAAUAGAAAAGAGGGCUUUGUUUAGUCUUCCCUGGCCAGAGAAGGAUAAAAAUAUAAUAAAACAAAAGUAACCAUUUCAUAUUCAGAAAGGGACCCACCCAUCCGUUUACGCGGUGGUGUUUUGAUAAGAAUCUGCAGGUGCCGGAAUCCGCUAAAUUUGGCCAAAUGCCGCUAAUCUUUGGGAUAAAGAUGAAAAGCGGAGCACUGACACACUUGGAAACAAACUCUGACGUAAUCCUCAUCUUUACAUUAGGGCUGUGAGUGUGUGUGUGUAUUGGCACUUUAUCCUAUAUAUUCUCAGUUUGUUUUGAUUUGUUUAUGAAGGAAACUGCAUUCUAAGCUUCGUUCCAGAGCUUCCUUCCUUCCUCCGUCCAAGCAGCGCAUCAAAAUGGCGUCGUCGUCGUUGUCGUUCAGUCGUGGUUGUGCUGGAAAGAGUGGCCUCCUUCCUCCUCCUCCGCCGCUUUGGAAUUUCUCCUCUUAAAGUCUCGCCGAAAGAUUGUCUACUUUUGGUGCGUCGGUGUCUGGAGUUUUCCGAAUAUGCUUUUGUUGUAUGUUUAUCGUGUGCCGUGACAUUUUUUUACUCUACUUUGUUGUGGAUCAAUCUGACCAGAGAGAGGUGAGUUAGUAACAAUGCCGAAUUCCCACAACAGAGUUUUAAUUAUUUUCUAAAAAGUAAAUACCCGCGCGAUCUUCAUGAUCCUGAAAACCGAAGAGAAUGUGAAGUUAGUGGAACUGAUGAUCAGGUAGAGACUGCGGCACAAUCCUCCUUUAAAACCAUUCUGCAAGUGACAAAAGGACAUGGAAGCUGUGAGCAACUUUUGAAUCAGCGGACUAAACCAACGAGCCAUCGAACAAAGGAGCAGUGAAUUUAAAAUAAAUGUACUUUAAAAACAACAUACAUAUAUAUAUAUAUAUAUAUAUAUAUAUACACAUAUAUUUAAUGUUUGAGGAAAUUAGGUUGUUAAAGUAGUGUAUUGUAAUUUGUAUUUUAUUACGCAUUAGUUAAUUAUUUAAUAUGAUCAAUAGUUUAAAAGAAAAGUCUGGGUACAAAUAGAUAAAUUAUAACUUUCAAUUAGGGGAUUAUAGAUUUGGGUUGAUUAGUGUUUAUGAAGUUUUUGGAAAAGUCGAAAUCAAGUUUGAAUAUAAUUGGUAUUGAGUACAGUAUAUGCCAGAGAAAUGUUUCUAAUAUGAUUUGUGAGUCUUGUUGGAUUUAACCUUUUUUUCAAUAUCACAACAUAUAAUUGUUUCAUAUCACAAAACGUGUAUAUAUACAUAUAUAUAUACAUACACACAAGAUAUAAUAGUUAAAAAACCCAAUGUAUCCCUCAAGAAUGUAAUUCUUUAUUUUUUAAAAAAAAACUUUACCAAGAUGCAGUUAUGUUAUGAUAUCGGAAUGAUUUUACAACACAAAAAAUAUUGAGGUAAUUUGAUUCAAAGAACAACCACUGCAGUCUUUAAAUACAAGUUCAUCAAUUUAUUAAUUCCAUCUUCAUUGCAUUUUUCAUCAUUAAAUUAAUGAAUGUUUUAGAAAAUUAUUGAAAUUGACUUGAAAUAUAAUUUUGAGGAAAAUCUUAUGAUUAAACUUGAACAGGUCUCUCAGGAAAAAAACAGCAAAAUGGAACCACUUAACUUAUGGAUGAAAUAUUUGAACGUUUUAAAAGGAUUGAAAGUCAAUCUCAAAUAAAUUCAAGAAAAUAAAUGAAUAUCAGAAUUCGAUCAUCACAAAUUUAGAAAAAAUCAUAAUAUCAUGUCUCAUUACUUAAUAAUCACCACAUUUAAAUAUUAUAAACGUAAUAAAGUAUGGAGUUUUAUUUAUUUCCUUUUUAAAAUUUUUAAUUUACCAACAUAUGCAAUUAAAAAUGAUUGUAUUUAACAUGCAAGCAAUUUAUUCAUUGUUAUAAAUUUCUAAAAUAUUUAAGCUUAAGUAUCAGUGAAACACAUAACCAUGUAUUGACUGACAUAAUACUAAUUCAGACCCUUGCUUCUGAAAUGUAGAAAUUGUAUGAGUUCCAUGCAUUGAGAAGAUCAGUUUUUAUUUAAAAAAUAAUUGCUGCAUUCUAAGUAGUUGAGCUGUAGCAAACCAGUCACUAGAACAGAGUCUGAAAGUCACAGUAGUUUACAACUUCAUUGCUAAUGAAACAGAGAUAUUUUCUACCAACAAACUUCUUAGAAAAUCAAAAUAAUAAAAAAAAUAAAUUAAAAUAGAACACGAUUUUGACAAGGAUGAGUUAGAAAUUAAGAAGAAAAAAAGAAAAAAAACAGUCCUCAAUGAAGAAACAUGUUGACAUAUUCACAAAAAAAGUAAUCAAUCAAAAGAAAUAUGUUAACAAAAAAAUAAUGUUAAAAUGAUUGAGGAUUUAGAAAAUGAACAAAAGUUUAAACGUCAUGAUAAAACUCUUGUACACCAUAAAUAUUGAGGUUUUGAAAUUUUAGAAAAAAACCAUCUGUCUAUUGUUGUAUCCUGAAUUAUUUAUCUUUUCAUUUGUACUGAUUUAGUAAUAUAUUACUAUGAUAUGAUUCCUCCUCUUCUUACAUUAAUUAAAUUUACUCACUAUGAAAUAAUAUUAUAUAUAUAUAUAUAUAUAUAUGCACAAAAAUCUUGAGCAGCUUGAGCAUAUACUUGGUUGGGUCCAUUUCAUACCCCUCAAGCCUACUAGUCCUUAUUUCGUUCAUGUGAUCUUCCACAAAUCUUAAACAAAGGUACAGGCACCAAUAUGGGUUUAAAAAUAUUUAUAACAAUAUAAAUUUUAUAAUAUUAUUAUAGACAUUUUUUGAUCUUAUGAUGUGCUUAACAUCCAUCACAUUUAGAUACAUGAUAUGCUUACAUUUCCAUUAACUUUUGGACUUUACUAGCUUUAUAUAAAUCUGUUUAAUUUUGAAUGAAAACUAUCUAAGAAGUUUUAGUAAGACUUGAAGUUUAAAGUAAUAUAUCAUAUAUUAUUAUGAGAAGCAUAUAGAAUAUCAACAUUCAAAAUGAAAUGAUAUAAAAAAAAAAUUUGACCCAACUUCUAUGAACAUAUUAUAUACUGAAUGGUACCUUGUCUAACUAAUAACCUUGGUGCAUGGAAAUUUUAUAUAAUAUCCAAGGUUUUAUUAUUUAUAUGGGAUCAUGUAAUUUCAAAGUUUGUUGUUCAUUUUUUCUUGUCAUUUCACAAUUGCAACAUUUUAUUAAGUGCAAUAACUUAUGGAAAAAACUAUGUAAAGGUUUUCUAUAUAUAUAUAUAUAUAUAUAUAUAUAUAUUUCGUCUUUUUGUUAGGAUCAUUUUUUAUAUUUAUCUCUUAUCUAAAUAUAGUUAACAUCUUCAAAUUAAUAUACACCAAAGAUUAUUUAGUUCUUUACAUUCACUUUAGAAAAUUGGCUCUCAUAAAAGUUGUACAAUUGGGUUCAAUCUGUCUUUUAAAACAAAAAAUGGAACUAUAAAAGAUAGAUAUGAAUAGUGAAGUAGAGUUGUGUGGAUAUAUGCUUUGUUUUGAAGAUGUGGAAUAAUGUUCUCUUAGGAAUUAAGUAGAAAUGAAUGAUUUUAGGAUUUUUUAAAAAUUAAAAAUUUAUAAUUAUAAGUAAUAAUAACUAUCAUUAUUUAUUUAUGCAUCAUUUUUUUCUAUUCACGCUCUUUUAUGAAGUGUUUGCAAAGAAUUUCUUAAGGUGGAAUAAUUCGCUUGAAGAAUAAUAAUGUAUUGAUCUCAAAUUAUUUGGUGAAGAUAUUACUUUAACUCUUCAAUGUUUUUAUUUUUGUUACAUGUAUAAAUAAUAAUAAGCUAAUUCUUGAACAAGAGGUUGAAGCAUUUGUCUAUUUUGAAUUGCAAUGAUCAAGUAGAUUUCAUUGUACCAAUUAUCAACUUCCAUAUAACUUUAAUUACCUAUUUUUUUGUUUUGUUUUUUGUUUUGUUUUGUUUUGUUUUUUUUUUUAUUUAAAAAUAUAAUUGAAGUUAUAAGCCACACUUAUUAUUUUACAAAUCAUAAAAUUUGAAUUCAAAAUUAGGAUUUUAUUUUUUAUCUAAUAUAUAAAAUAUAAUUAAAAAAUAAGUAUGUACAAAAGCUAUACUCCAAUUUUGUUAAAUGUACAUGUCAAUUUUGUUAAAACCACGCUUUUUUUCUACAAAACAAUAACUGAAUUUCAAAAUCAUGAUUGUAAAAUAGAUUUGAAUGACAAAGCCCUUAUUAAUCAAUUUCAAUAUGGAUUGAAAGAUAAUAUCAAAGAUUUAUUAUUGACCAUAUUAAGAGCAAAUUUAUUGGAGCAAUUUAUUAUUGAAAUCAUUGCUUGCAACUAUUGACUCUUUAAAAGUUAUCAAGAACAAAUAUUUGAUUGAAGAGAUACAAGUUAAGCUAUGGCAACACCUUCUAAGGUUUCAAAAAUUUAUUCAUUAAAGUUAGAAUCUUUACUAAUUGAUAAAAUAUAUUUUAAACCUCUCACUAAGCAAGAAAAGAUUCAACGUUGUCAAAAGAAUUUGUGCUUACAUUAUGAAAAAGCCAAGGAUGUUGUUCAAUUAUAAAAUGACAAGCAAAGUUGCCAUAAAAGACAAUAUGUCAAAAAAAAAAAUUCAACUAUAAUAGACACUGUAUGCUAGAAUCAUGUGCAACACCUAAUAAAGGUCCUAUGUUUUCUUCAAAUUCUUUGCCUUAUUUUAUAGUAGAUGUAUAUUUGGGACGUAAAAAUCAUAAAGUCUUUGUCUUAUGAUAUUUAAGAGUCUCAACUUGUUUUAUAGACAUAAGCUUUGUAAAAAAGUAAGAAAUAUAGUUAGUUAAGAAAACUAAACUUGUAAUUGUAGAAGUCAUAAAUGGUUGUUUGUUGUUGUCUAUAGAUAUUUUCCAUGAGACUAUUCCUUUAGAUGUAGGAACUAAAUAUCAUAAUAGUAUAGUAAUAUUUAAUGUGUCCUUUCAAUUCAAUUAUUUUAGGAUUAUCACGGUUAAAAAAAUAUAAACUUUAAAUAGAUUAGAUUUAUCAUAAUUUUAUUUUUCUUGUAGUUUAAUCCAAAAUUUUGUUAAUCAAGUAGAAAUACAUAAGUUUUAUACACCCAAAUGCUUAUUGGUAGAUAUAAGAGAUUUCAUACAUAUUGCAAACAAAAGGUCAUCUUUUGCUAUAUAUACCACAUCUAUUUUUGAUGGUAGAAAGACAUUAAAUAAUAUUUUUAGCCAUUAUGAAGAUUUCAAAGAUAUUUUUAAAAAGAAAAAUGUAGAUGUUCUUUCAGAACAUUGAUCCUAUGAUUGUUCAAUUGAUUUGGAAGAAUUAGCUCAACCACCAUUCGAACCAAUCUAUAGCUUAUUGUAAAAUGAAUUGAAUGCACUCAAACAAGACAUUGAAGAAAACUUGACUAAGAAUUUCAUAUACUAUUCAAAAUUUCCAACAUGAGUUUCUAUUUUAUUUGUGAAGAAAAAUAAUAGAUCACUAUGGAUGUACAUAAACUAUUGAAAAUUAAAUAAGAUCAUUAUUAAGAAUAGGUAUUUUUUACCUCUAAUUUUAAAACUUCUUAACCAACUCAAUCAAGCAAAGAUCUAUACAAUAAUAGAUUUACAAAGAGCAUACAACUUGAUCCGCAUCAAAGAAAGAAAUAAAGAGGAGAUAGCUUUUUGAACUAAGUAUAGACAUUUUAAAUAUAAUGUUAUGUCUUUUGGAUUCAUGAAUGUGCUAGUCGCUUUUCAAUAUCUCAUGAAUGAUAUUUUUUAUGAUUUUUUUGAUGAUUUUUUUUUUCUAAUAUUUAAACGACAUUCUAAUCUACUCUAAGAAUAUAAAAAUAAUAUUAACUUCAUGUUUGUCAUGUGUUACAAAAACCUAAAGAUGUACGAUUAUAUGCCAAGAUAGAAAAUUGUGUAUUUUAUACUACUCAAGUUGACAUCGUAAGAUACAUUAUUUCCAACAAAGAACUAAUCAUAGAUCCAAAGAAGGUCUAGACUAUCAUAAAUUGGAAGAAUUCAAGAACAAUAAGAAAUGUGCAAUAUUUUUUGAGCUUUGCUAAUUACUACCAAAUCUUCAUUAAAUUUUUUUUCGAGUUGCAGCUGUCACGGCCAUAAUCAUGUAAGCUAAUUAUUACAUAUAGAAAUAGGUAGAAAUAAGUAAAAAUAGGUAAAAGUAAGUUAAUUCUAUAAUAUUUAAUAUGGAAGCUUCCUAGAAACUUCUUAGAUGCUGCUUUGACUUCAUAGGUGUCUUUAAUUGACUUUUUGGAUUAGAAACGUGGUCAACAAGUUGGCCAUGUGCCACACAUAUUGUUAGCUUAAAGAUCAAGCUAACUAUGUGGCCCACACGUAGAAAAACUUGCCUUGUAAGUCAAGGCAUGUGCCCUACAAAGUCAACACAUAUUGAAGGUCCUAUAGAACGUCGCCACGUAGCUCUUAGUUAAAUAGUAUAUAUAGAGACAAGAGUGAAGGCUUCUUCACUCUUGUCAACUCCUUUCUUGCUUCCAGUCUAGUUUCAAGGGUCUCUAGUUUUGUUGUCUUUUGGCAAUAGCCAUUCCAGUUUCUCUUUCAAUAUACAUACUUGUUUAUUUAUAUUUUUUUACCUUUUUUUUUGAGUGAAGGCUCACUUGUUUGAAUUCCUUUUUCAUCAAGUUUUUGUCCUUGACAGAUUGACAAGAGUACACCUAUAAUAUCAGAGCUUUGUCUAAUCUUGAUUAAGAGUGGAUUACCCUUUUUUCUUGAUAAGAUAUAAGCGUAUUAGAAGUUGCAGAUUACCCUCUUCUAAACUGAUAUUGUCCUUAGUAUUUUUUUUGUCCGCAAGUCCUCUUUUCUAGUUGUCUUGAGCGAUAUUAGACAUCUUCUCUCUUCUAAGUGUUAUCAUGGCAGAACUUCUUGAAAUGAAGAGUGUAAUGGCUCAAAUGCAAGAGUAAUUGAGGGAGUAAAUGCUUGCAAUGCAUCAACUCAAUUUACCACCACAAGGAGCAACAAGAUUGGCAGGAAGUGAAGAUAUAGAAAUGGUUGAAGCUGCUUCAACAUCUGCACCAAACCAUGUCCUUUCUUCUAUGGUGGAACGCCCUUCAAAUGUUAGAGAACCAAGAAUUGUCCUACCAGAGAAGUUUGAAGGGACCAGAUCCAAGUUUCGAGGAUUUAUCAAUCAAGUGCAACUUGUGAUUGAACUUCAACCCCAAAGCUAUCCAACUCCAAGAUCACAAGUUAGAUUCAUUGGUACGCUUCUUUCAGGUUCGGCACUAUUGUGAUUUUCAUCUUUUCUUGAAUGACGAGAUCCAAUAUUGGAUAAUUUAGAGGCUUUUUUGGUGGAGUUUCGAUCCAUGUAUGGAGAACAUAAUGCAAUUUGUGUUGCAACCAAUAAGAUCCGUAUUUUACGACAAGGCAAUCGAUCAGUAACGUUAUAUGCUUCACAAUUUCGACAACUUGCAAUUGAUAUCAAGUCGGAUGAUGCUGCACUUAUUAGCCAAUUUCUCUACGAAUUACAAUAUGAGGUAAAAAUAAUUAAUUCUCAACUUACCUGAUCCUCAAACAUUGAGUCAAGCAAAUGACUUUGCUGUGAAGUGCGACAAUCACCUUUUUGAAUUCCGAUCUGAGAACCGUACAAGUGGACCUCAACGUUACUAUAAUUCAAUGGCAACACCAACACCUCUUCAACACAUACAUUUGGAAGUAGAGGAUAUGCAAAUUGAUGCAGUAUGUUUCAAACCUCUUACUGAGCAAGAAAAGACUCAUCGUCGUCAAGAAGGAUUAUGUUUAUAUUGUGGAGAACCAAAGCACACUGCUCAACAUUGUCCAAAGAAAUGACGCAAUUACAAAAUGAGGAGUAUGGCUGUGAAAGAAGAUAAUAUGUCGGAAAACGAGUUUGUCUAGCUACAAUAGGGACCGUGCGGCUGGAACCUUGCACAACUUCUAGUAAAGGUCCUAUUCUCUCCUCAGAGCCCUCUCCUUGUUUACAUUAAAUGUUAUUUUAAGACCUAAACAUUACAAAGUCUCUGCCUUGUUAGAUUCAGGAGCCUCAGCGUAUUUUUUAGAUGAAGAAUUUACUAAAAGACAUAGCAUAUCUUUAGUAAAGAAAACUAAACCUGUUCAUAUAGAAGUCAUAGAUGGUCGUCCAUUGUCUUCUGGAGAUAUUACUCACGAAACCCUUCCUAUAGAAGUAAUAAUCAAUGGUCAUAAUAGUUUUGUAGUAUUUAAUAUCAUUAAAUCUCCCUCUAAUCCAAUCAUUUUAGGUUUAUCAUGGUUAGAAAAAUACAGCCCUCAAAUUGAUUGGAUUUCUCGAACUCUUACUUUCUCUUAAAGUAUAACCAACAGUGUAGUUGAUCAAGUAGAGAGUCAUAAGUCCAGUUCAAUUAAACCUGUAUUUAUAGGUGCAAAAGCUUUCUUGCAUGCUGCUAUGAAAGAAUCACCAUACAUUAUUUAUGCUACACCCGUUUCUAUUGGUGAAAAGACUUCAAGUGGCAUUCCAAGCCAAUAUCAAGAAUUUUAAGAUGUAUUUGAAAAAAAGAAUGCGGAUACACUCCCGGAACAUCGUCCCUAUGAUUGCUCAAUUGACCUUCAAGAAGGAGCACAACCGCCAUUCGGACCAAUCUAUAGUUUAUCACAAAAUGAGUUGGCUGAACUCAAAGAAUAUAUUGAAGAAAAUCUAGCCAAGAAUUUCAUAUGCCAUUCUAAAUCUACGGCAGGAGCUCCAAUUUUAUUUGUGAAGAAAAAAGAUGGAUCAUUGUGGAUGUGUGUUGAUUAUCGAGGAGUCAAGAAGAUUACCAUAAAAAAUAGGUAUCCACUACCAUUAAUAUCCGGACUUCUUGAUCAGCCGAAUCAAGCUAAGAUCUAUACAAAAAUAGAUCUUCGGGGAGCAUACAAUCUAGUACGCAUCAAAGAAGGAGAUGAAUGGAAGACUGCGUUUCGAACUAGGUAUGGACAUUUUGAAUACAAUGUCAUGCCUUUUGGACUUACAAAUGCACCAACAGCUUUUCAACAUCUAAUGAAUGAUGUUUUUCGAGAAUUUUUGGACGAUUUUGUGGUAUGUUAUCUAGACGACAUCUUGAUCUAUUCUAAGAAUCCAAAAGAACAUGAACUUCAUGUUCGUCAUGUGUUACAAAAAUUAAGAGAUGCAGGACUCUAUGCCAAGAUAGAAAAGUGUGUAUUCCACACUAUUCAAGUCGAUUUCUUAGGUUACAUCAUUUCAAAUGAUGGACUUAUGAUGGAUCCUAAGAAAGUUCAAACUAUUAUAGACUAGAAGAUCCAAAAAACGGUAAGAGAUGUCCAAUGUUUUUUGGGAUUUGCCAACUACUAUCGGAUCUUCAUCAAAGACUUCUCUCGAGUUGCAGCUCCACUUACACGUUUGACUUGUAAAGACAAACUCCAAUGGAAUCAAGAAGCGGAAGUUGCUUUUGAAUCUUUGAAGACAACGUUUGUUUCUGCACCAAUCUUGUAUCAUGUUGAUUUUUCCAAAGCAUUCUUUAUGGAAACAGAUGCAUCGGACUUUGCUCUGGGCACGGUUUUAUCACAAAUGGGAACAGAUGACAAACUUCAUCCAAUAGCCUUUCAUUCAAGAAAAUUCUCAGCAGCAAAAAUCAAUUAUGAGAUCUAUGACAAGGAACUUCUUGCAAUUGUGGAUUCUUUUCAAGAAUGGCGUCAUUAUCUAGGAGGCACUUCUAGUCCAGUCACCGUGUAUACGGAUCACAAGAACCUCAAAUAUUUUAUGUCAGCACACGUAUUAAAUCAUCGCCAAACUCAUUGGAGUAUGUCUUUAUCAAGAUUCGAGUUCAUCAUCACUUAUCGGCCAGAAAAAGAACAAGGUUUAUCUGAUGCCUUAUCUAGACGUUCUUAUUUUGCACCAAAAGAAGGAAAUGCAGCUUUUGAGCAACAAAGAACGGUUCUCUUGAAGCCAGAACAAUUUCAGCUUCGAUCAAUAAAAUCAACAUUGACUGUUGAUUUAACUUUCCUUAAGCAAGUCCAGUUAAGUAUGUCUUCAGACUCUCUUCUUCAUGAUAUCAAGAACAAUUCUUCUAAAUCUCAUGAUCCCUCUAAAUUUGAAUUCAAGAACAACCUACUCUAUUUUGAAAGACGCCUAUAUGUUCCAGAAGGAGAAGCACGUUUACGUGUUCUUCAAGCUCAUCACGACUUCCGAGCAGCAUGACAAUUCGGAUAUAAUAAGACUUUGGAGCUGUUAUCUAGGGAUUUUUGGUGGCCUCAACUGUGGAAGGCAGUUAAAGAUUUUGUACAAUCAUGUGAUGUUUGCUCAAGAUCGAAAACUCCUCGUCAUCGACCUUUUGGACUUCUUCAGCCAUUAUCCAUUUUAGAACAACCAUGGUCUUCUGUUUCUAUAGACUUCAUCACGAUCUUCCAAUCUCAGGUUCUUAUGACUCUAUAUUCGUGAUAGUAGAUCGUUUUACCAAGAUGGCACAUUUUGUACCAUGUACAAAAUCUAUCACAAGUGAAGAAACAACUAAGUUCUUUUUUGACAAUAUCUAUCGCUAUCAUGGAUUACCCAAGGAUAUUAUAUCAGAUAGGGGAACUCAAUUUAUAUCAAGAUUUUGGCGGACUCUUUUCAAGAUUCUUAAAGUGGAUAUAAAACUAUCUUCGGUAUUCCAUCCUCAAACUGAUGGGCAAACGGAGCGUGUUAAUCAAGUUUUGGAGCAAUAUUUAAGAUGUAUCAUUAAUUACCAACAAGAUGAUUGGACAACUCUUUUGCUAUUGGCAGAGUUUGCUUACAAUAACACGGUACACUCUUCUACAAAACAAACACCUUUCUUUGCUAAUUAUGAUUAUCAUCCACGACUUGAUACUUUUGACUUUUCAAAAGUUGAUAAUCCUGCUGCAAAAGAUUUGGCAAUUCAUUUAUCAGAGCUACAUGCAACAAUGAAGGCGCAGGUAAAUGAGGCUCAAGAACAACAAAAGGUCAAUGCAGAUGUCUAUCGAAAGGAACAACUAUCAUUCGUCUUGGGUGAUAAGGUAUGGCUACUUCGUCGCAAUAUCAAGACCACUAGUCUUUGUGACAAGUUGGACUAUCGAAGGUUGGGACCAUUUUUUAUUUCUGCACAAAUCAAUCCACUUGCAUAUCGUUUAGAUCUACCAGAGUCAAUGAAAAUCUAUCCAGUAUUCCACGUAUCUCUUCUUGAACCAUACAAGAUAGUGGACAUACCAAGAAGACGACAAGCUCCACCUCAUCCUAUAGAAGUGGACAAUAAUAAAGAGUUUGAAGUAGAAGAAAUCUUAGAUUCAAGGCCGCGUCGAAAUAAAUUAGAAUAUCUUGUCCAUUGGCACGGAUAUGGUAUCAGUGAAUGCACAUGGGAGCCAUUAAAGAAUCUUGCAAAUGCAGCAAACGCGGUGGAGGCUUUUCAUCGACGACAUCCAUCAAAAACAAGAUGAAAACCUUCUUUAUAAAAGAAACAACAUCUAGGCAAGAUAAUAUGCUACUUUCAAUUCUUGUUCGUAGCUUCAUUGUAGUAGUGGCGCUCAGGAGAUGGGGAACCAACCAGCAGCCAAUUCAACUCAAGAGCCUUUAUUUGCUGACCUGCUGGACGAGACAUUACGAUUGUCACAACCCUCAAGACGACGCAAUCAAGAUGAAGAUCUUCAAGAACGAACUGUUCUUCCUCGAAUAGAUGGUGAGAUACAACGCGUUUGGUAUCAUGAUUUGGGAAGGAACUCCCAAUGUUUGGUGAUUUUUCUAGAGGUAGGAACAACUCCUGAUGGUGUUCCAAAUAUUCUAUUCGAAGGAAGUUACGAAGGCCUCAACAAUGAUCAAAUAAUUGGGUGGUCUUCCCGCCCUAGUAUGGAACACUACCGAUGGUUGAGGGGCCCUAUCAAUCAUCUUCGAAGAGAACAGAGAUCAGAGUAUGUGGCGAAUAUAAUUUGUCGCAUCAUAGAUUUCCUCAACAUAUGAUGACCGCUCCUCGUGGAACUCGUCCCUAGAAGGAGGGGUAAUGUCACGGCCAUAAUCAUGUAAGCUAAUAAUUACAUAUAGAAAUAGGUAGAAGUAAGUAAAAGUAGGUAAAAGUAAGUUAAUUCUAUAAUAUUUAAUAUGGAAGCUUCCUAGAAACUUCUUAGAUGCUGCUUUGACUUCAUAGGUGUCUUUAAUUGACUUUUUGGAUUAGAAACGUGGUCAACAAGUUGGCCAUGUGCCACACAUGUUGUUAGCUUAAAGAUCAAGCUAACUAUGUGGCCCACUGUAAUCGUCGUUUGACUCGGACUCAAAACACCAAGAUAUUUGAUCAGUAUAGGUGGGUUCGAUCUCGGGGAAAGACUCGUUGUAUGAAUUGGAUAUGUUAUGUCACAAUUGAUUAUGUAUUAAUUAUCUAAAACUUCCAAAGUUCUCUUCCUCAUCUCAAUUCAAUCCCUUCACAAUCUCUACAAUCGUUCACUGCCCUGCAGCUACUCAAUAUCACUGACAUUCCUGACAUCUACAGGAUGCUUAAUCUCUUUCCACAGUACUUCAAUUCUCAAUUCCUUUACUUUUAUUCAAUCUUCCAGUGCUACUAUCACAAUGCAAUAAUCUCUAUUAUCACAAUCACACUUUCUUUCUCCAAAUUAAUUAAUUCGAAUUCAUAAUUUUCAAUAUUUCAAUCACAGUUUCAGCAAUCCUUUUCUUAAAUCUAAUACUAAAGAAAAACACAAAAACAAAGAAAACAAAAGGGUAGCUCCAAGCUUUACCCUGGCUCACGACUAUCACAGUCUGGCCCCCAUUCCUUCUUCUUCAACCUCUUUAUCCUACCAAAAUAUGAAUCGUCAUUCAGCAGAUUCCAUAGGUUGUAAAACUUUGGCUUCUUAACCGCAUAUGUUCCUAACUUCCUACUAUUAACAACUAAUCAAACUAACCAUUCAUCUAAAUCUCAACAUUACUACUAUUUAACCGAUAACGAACCAAAGAAGUCAUUUAUACAUUCUACAUAGCCCCACUUCUUAGUGUACAGCGUCCUCGCAAACCACCUUGUACUACGUUUUACAAUAUCACCACAUCAUUGGCUUCCUCCAAUGUCUGAACCUCUGGUCCGCCUUGGUCCGUUUCAUCAUUUCCAUAAGUGAGAUUGGUUUGGACUUCUUGAGCUUCUUCUCCAACUUCCUCUCCCACUUCCUCUCCGUUCAAUAAAGCUGUCAAGUCCUCGUUAAGUGCUUCCAAUUCCCGAACCUGAGACUCCAAAAGCGCAAUUUGGGUGUCUCGCUCUUUCAGCUGCUCCUCCAGGGCAUGCACCUGUUUCUCUAAUUUCUAUAAAGAUGUACUUGCUGGAUUGACCUUUCCUUGCUACGUGGUAACUGUAAUCAUUUUUGCCUCCAAUUUGGCAAUCCUUCUCUUCAAUUGCUUGUUCUCCAUCUUCGAGCUCUCCGAUUGUCUCUGAAAAUCGUCCUCCAAUUUGGAUCUCCCGGCUUCCAAUUCCGCCACCCUAUUCUUUUCCUCUUGGUAUUGGUUCCGCAACUCCAUACACUCCUGCUUGGUAAGCUCCAUCAGUCUCUUUGCCAAUUUGUUCUCUUUGGCCCAUUCCGCUUGGGUCUCCUUGAAUUGGUGCUCUAAUCUUGAAUAUUUGAGAGCGUUCGUUACUGAAGCACGUUGUAAAUCUCCAAUCUUCUUCUUCUGAUCCUCAAUGAUCUUGUCUUUCUCCUCCAGUACAUGUCUAAGGCUGAACUCAUUGUCCAUUUUCUCAACGGCCAUCUGUAAUUGAGUAAUUUGUGCCGAGAUUAACUCCUUGAGUUCUCUUGCCUGCUGGCCAGCUCCCGAUAAACCCACCCGUUGAUAAUACUCUACCAGUACUGGUGGAAUGACGGCCAUAUUGGUAUUGGGACGACACAAUUCUCUAGAUGACAAGCUGACAUUGGUCCGUUCACAAUUUCUAGCUUGGCUGCACUCUGCCAUCGCCGCUUCCUCGACUUGUUUUGAUGGCAAUGGCGUUGACUCUACUUUUGUCUCUGUUGCUACAGCGUCUAGUCUCUCCACCAUUAAAGGUUGCUUCAGUUGAUAUCUAAUUGCUUCACACACGUAGUUGGAACAUAACAUCGUGGUAACCUUCCCUGUUCUUCUUUUCACAUCCAAUUCCGCAUGGAUUCUGGUCGCAACAUACGUUGCCCAGUUGAAGACCAUCCACUCUAGCGUCGCAAUUGCUGAAAACAAUAACCUCCUUACCAUAUACGUCGAAUGUCGGUUCAGCCCUAAUCGCUUCUUCACAAACCGCAUCCAUUCUCCCAGCUCCGACGUAAGCGCAUCCGCUGUCUUCCACCCUUGAUUUUUCUCAAAUGCUUUGUUUCCCGACUUGAAGUACUUUCUUGGAAUAAAAUCAGACUCUAAGUCUCUCGAUACCGGUAGCUCACCCAUGGGAAGAUAUAGAACCUUGUUCAACGUCACCUCAUCUAUACCAAUAAUUCUCCCAUGAACCACACUGGACUCGUCUUUCGGAUCAUAAUUCGUCACAUAUUCCGUUAACAAUGCUAUACUUGUUGGUGGUAGCCUCUGCGAAAACUUCAAAAACCCAUACAUCUGCACCGUGUGAAACUCUCUCUGUCUCCUUUGCGACCAAAAAAUGUCCAUAGCGACCGGCUCCAUGCUGGUCACUAUCACGCAUUCCAUUGGUGGCAAUGCUCCCUUUGUCUUGACAUUACGCUGUCGCUCCUCUCUCGUAGCUGUCCUCUUCUUACGCUCAAUCACCACUUUCGCUACUCACGAUAAUCCUCUAAAACCUGUGCUUAGCAACGUGAAUCAAGAAAUUACAAUGUAAACAAUGCCAGCCAAGAGCCCCACUCCUAACUUCUACCCUGGUUCUCCUCAUGAUAUGACUUAACCUAACAGGCCUAUAACACCCUAUCCUAUUAGUGUCUUCCUGACGGCUCACCUUCACUCAACCCGUCCAUAAUCUCAUCAUCACACGCUCUUCCCUUCCCAUCACAAGUCUUGCGCUGUCACUUCAAUACUAAAUUGGCUUUCUCUCUCCCCCCCCACCGAUAUAAAACCCGUCCCGGGUUUAUGUAGCAUACAGACGUAGCCGAUUCCCAUUUAUACGCGUGGUAAAUUUAGCACCCAUAAAGUCUUCCAAUUGGACUAAGCCAUUAGGAAAGCCCUCAAUGACUCUGUACGGCCCAUGCCACCGAAUAUGAAAUUUUCCUGGAAAAUUUUUAAAACGACUGUCAUAAAGCAGUACCAAAUCAUUGGGCAUAAAAAAUUUUGGUUUUAAUUUACUAUCAUAAUAAAUUUUCCGUUGCCUUUGAAUGGCCUUCUGUCUCAAUAGGGCAUUGGUUUGAGUUUCAUCCAACUGCUCCAAUUGUGCGAAACAAACUUGUAACCACUCCGUAUCCCCCAAUCGUUCCUCGAGUGCAAUGCACAAACUUUGAACUUCGAAUUCGAUAAGUAAUAUUGCUUCCUGACCAUAAACUAAUUGAAAGAGUGUGGCAUUAGUCGUAACUUUAUAUGCAGUACGGUAUGCCCACAAAGCGACAAACAAUUUAAUGUCCCAAUCCGUGCUUGCACCAGAUAUUGUCUUGGUGAUAAUUGUACAUAAUAUGCCGUUGGUCUUUUCUGUUUGGCCAUUUUCUCUGGGAUGAUACGGUGUCGUCUUGCGGUAUUUAAUCUCAUAUUUAGCAGUCAAUGCUUCAAUUAUACUAUUAAUGAAAUGGGUUCCUCGAUCACUGACCAAUUCUUUUGGAGAGCCAAACCGUGUAAUAAUAUUUUCAUAUAAGAAUGUGGCUACAUCACUAGCACUAUCAGAUUUUGUUGCCUUCGCUUCGGCCCAUUUGGUAACAUAGUCCAUGGCAACCAAUAUAUACCGUUUUUGUCCAUAGCGAGAGGUAGGUGCAAUUGGGCCCACGAAAUCAAUACCCCAUUUUUCAAAAGGUGCAUGUGCCAGAAUUGGAACUAACGGCAUCGCGGAUGUACCCGUAGGAUGACCAAUUCGCUGGCACGGGCCACAACGACGUGCAAACUAGUGAGCAUCCGCAAACAGUGUCGGCCACCAAUAUCCCGCAUGUAAAACUUUGCGUGCUGUGCUGUCGCCUGCAAAAUGUCCACCACAACUAUCCAAAUGACAUCCUUCCAAUAUAGUGCGUGCUUCAUUCUGAUAAACGUAAUAGCGUAAAAUACCAUCUUUUCCUUGUUUAUAUAAAGUUUCUCCAAUCAUAGUAUAAGGUGCGCUUUUCAAAACCAAUCUUCUCUUAAGCUUCUCCAUAAAAUGGAAAGAAAAAGUUUGAAAAGUCAAAUACUGUAUCAAUUUGUUAUAUUCCGGCGUAAUUAGGUCGACAAGAAAUAACUCAGCGUCAGGUAAUGCAUCAGGAAUGGGUUCAUUUCCCAAUAUAUUGGACAGUCGCGAUAGAUGAUCCACAUUGGCAUGCCACUUCCUCGACCGUAUAUUAAUAGUAAAAUCAAAUUCUUGUAAAAGCAAUAUCCAUCUUGCGAUGCGGCCACUCAACUGGGGCUUGUUAAUCAUAUAUUUUAAAGCGUCAUGAUCCACGUGGAAGACAAAUUUAUAUCCAAGAAGAUAAUGCCGAAACUUUUCGACAGAAUAAAUCAUUCCCAAAGCCUCUCGCUCAGUUAUAGUGUAAUUCCGUUCGGCAGCCACCAACUGACGACUUGCAUAAUAAAUAGGAUGAUCGUGGCCCUUGUCAUCCUUCUGGGUCAAUACCGAACCAAUCGCAACAUUAGAGGCAUCAACAUAAACCUCAAAAGAUUUUGUCCAACGAGGAGCAACCAAUAUUGGUGCAGAAACCAAUUUUUGUUUUAAUGUUUCAAACGCAACUGUACAUUCCUUGGUCCAAAUUGGUUCGAGGCUGUCCAGUAGUUGCUUUUUCAACAAAUUUGUCAAUAGAAUACAGAUAACAGCAAAUAGAUAAAUAAAACGUCGAUAAUAGCUAAUAUGCCCAAUAAAGGUGCGAACACCUGUCACUGUAUCGGGUAUUUGGAGUUCUAGUAUAAUUUUUAUUUUAUCCGGAUCGGUGGCGAUACCUGUUUCCGAUACGAUAUGACCUAAUAAUUUUCCUGAGGGUACCCCAAAUUUAUAUUUUUCUGAAUUCAAAGAAAUUCCAAAUUUAGCACAUUUACCUAAGCACCAGCCCAAUUUGUCUAAGUGUUCUUCUCUGGUGCUGAAUGUGCAGAAAUUAUCUAAAAAGAUUUCCAUUGAAACCCAUAGCUCAUCUUGGAAUGCUUGCAUCAUCAUCCUCUGAAAUGUAGCUGGCGCAUUACAAAGUCCGAAAGGCAUGACCUUAUAAGCAAAAGUUCUCCAAUUCGUAGUAAACGUAGUCUUUAAUUGAUCCCCCUUUGCAAUUUAUACCUGAUUAUAUCCGAAAAAACCAUCAAGAAACGAAUAACAUUCGUGGCCUGCUACUACGUCUAAGAUACUAUCCGUAAAUGAUCAAAGAAAGUAAUCCUUCUUUGUAGCAGCAUUCAACUUUCGAAAAUCUUGGCAAAUUCAGACUUUCCCGUUCUUCUUGGGAACCAUAACUAUCGACGAAACCCAUUCACUAUGUGGUACAGGAUAUAUAAAUUCCACCUUCAGAAGCUUAUCCAAUUCCUCCUUUACCAUCAACGAAUAUUUAGGAUUCAGUUGAUGUUGCCUUUGUCGUACUGGUGUAGCCGUGUCCUCCAAUUUUAUUCGAUGCUUACAAACUUCAGCUGGAAUACCCUUCAAAUCUUUAUAAAACCAAGCAAAAGCUGAUUUAUGUUUUAUAAAAUAAUCUGUCCAAAGCUCUUUAGUUUUACCUAUUAUACCAUCAUAAAUUUGAAUCAAUUUGGGAUUAUCCUUUGUGCCUAGAUUUAUUGAUUGACACUUUGGUCCAUUAAGAGCUUCAGCGGUAAUCUUCUGCUCUGUUUCGGGAUCUUUCAUAAACUCGGACAAAUUGGAGCUUUCCAAUUCGAGAUCUAUAGUACCAACUUGAUUAACAUCUCUUCGCUGCAUCCAGUGUGCAAUCAUAUGAUCUGAAUCAUCAAUAACGUUUGGAGGAACAAAAUAUUCUCCUGGUCCUCCACAAUGGUAAAUAUUCCUAUUUUGUACUGCAACUUCCCGUGCCUCGACAGCCUUUGAUUUGGAAACAACUAGUUCUUCUUCCGUAUACUCCUGUUUGCAGUCCGAUGUAUAUUCUAGACUGGUAAUUUGAGUUUCUUCGUGAUAUUGGACAGGAUACAUUUGGAGCACUAUUUUAUCCUUACCCUUUCCAAUUGUUAGCAUUCCACGACCCCAAUCGUUCCGAGCUUCAGCUUAAUAUAGCCACGGUCGACCCAACAAAAUUGGAUAUGACAAUACUGUGCUUUGCAAUCGAAAUACAAUAUAAUCAAUUGUGUAUGUAAUCCCCGCAACAACUGUAUCAAUUCCUCGUAAAGUACCCAUAGGUCGGACUCGACUUGAAUCUGUCAUUCGCAAAACAACUGUAGUUGGUAUUAAUUGGUCCAAUGCCAAUUCUUCCAUUGUAUCUACAUUCAUGAGGUUAACGCUAGCCCCGCCAUCCACUUGUACACCCUGAACUAAUAUUCCAUCAAUUGAUACAUCAAUAGUCGGCGCGCCUAGAUCCGGAUUCAAACUUACUUCACGAAUUUCUUUUUGACGAGUUCUUCGUCGAAUCAAAGAAGAGUUUAAGGUGUUACGAUAUUUUGGUGCUACUGCUAAUAAUUACUUUAUUGUGAUUGUUGGUUGAAUUGAACCUAAAUCCUUCAGAAUAUCAUAGGGUUCCAUAUUGGUCAUGAUUCCCAAUGUCUUUUUUUUCUUACGGAUUUCGGAUCUCGGUCCCCAUAUAUUGGUACUUCCAAUAUCAGGAAUUGGUACUUCCACGAUUUCUGGUUGCAACUGCUCCUUGAAAAUUGGAUCCUUUAACUGGUGCGACUGUCCACCGUAUUGGUGUAAUAUUGGUACUUGUGAAAUUAGUGGACGCACCAAUAUAUUGGUCGAAUUGGGUUGUGACGGUGACGCUUCGUCCAAUAAUGGAGCAGAUUUUGGUAUUGAUCUGUUGACCAGGGCUGGUAUCGAUUUCUCCAAUAUUUGGAUUGGUUCUUUGCCUUUUUGCUGAUUUCUUGUCAAUACUACGUGAAUCGCUUCCAUCCGAUGUAUCGGUGAUUCCUGUGGUUUGUUUGUUUCUUCUAUAAUUUGCACUGUUGAUGUCAUGUGCUGGUCCCUACUAUUUGGAUUAAAAGGUACAUUACAUUAGUAGUGGUAAUGACCAGAUUGCUUACAAUUUGUGUAAAGAGGUGCGUAUUCUUCGAUAAAUCUUGGGUUGUUGCAAUCACUUGCAUAAUGACCCAAUUGGCGGCAUCGAAAACAACGAACUGGUUUUUUUCUUAUCCCGUCAGGUACAUUGGGAGUCUCCGUUGGGACAUACCUUCCAGGUCGGUUCCAUGUUGGUACAGUAAAGGAUCCAGGUUGACUAGUUGUCGCCAUUGGUGAAUUGGUCUGUUGUAUUGGCAUCGAUGGUUGAUUUCCCAUUUGAUUUUGGCCACCAUUCUGCAUAUUGGUCCCAUAGGGCUGAUUAUAGUUAGGAUUUUGGAAAUUUCUAAAACCACGAUUUACUCUAUUAUUUCUAUUUCCAUUUCAUCCACCCGUAUUUCCUGUUUGCACUUGAUUUACAUCCCAUACAAUUGGUUGUAUCAUUGUUUGUUGUUUUGGUAAGUACCAACAAUUGGCAGUGUUAUGCUUUCCUCCACAAUACAUACACUGUCCCAUCUUCUGAUGAGCCAAGGGGCAUUCCGUAUCAAAGUGUCCCUGCCCUUUACAGUUGUUACACCAUACAUUAGGUCUCAUAUUAGAAGGUUUAUGCCUUUUCUCUUUAUCUUUAGUCAUAUGCACGGCUAAUUCUUCCAUUUUCUUCAUUAGAUUUAAUAAUAGAGCUUCGUUAGAAUCGUUAAUUGUUGCAUUCAUCGGUACUUCAGGUUGUCGAUAUGCCAUCGGUGAAGGAUAAGUUGCCACGGGUGAUAUCGCCUGCAAAGGAGUGGCAUUAACUACUCCUUGAGAAUUGGGAUUUCCCAUACUAGGCGCAAUCAUUCGUGGGUAGCUCCCUAUCAUCGUAUUCGUCAUUGGAACUUGAUUUCCUAUACUAGGAAUCAUUGUGGUUCCCACCAUCAACAGUUGAUCAUAAUGGCACUCCUCCCACACCUUUGCACGUGCUAAGGAGGCAGCUACCGUAACUGGUUGAGACUCCUUAACAAACAUCUUCAAUUCUGGGGGAUGCAACCCAUUCACUAUUAUUGACAAUAUAAACGCGUCUGGCAUUUGAUUGUUUGGCCAUUUACGUAAUAUAUCUGCAACUCGGCCAUAAUACGACUGCACCGAUUCUCCCACAAAUAUUUUACUGUUCAGCAAAUUUUCUCGAAGACGAUCUUCGAAUCCUAUUGGUCGAAAAUGAGUUAAGAAAGCAUUUUUCAAUGCUUCCCAAUUAGGAAAUUGUCCCACUGGUUGUCGAAUAUACCAUUCAAACGCUGUAUCUUUUAAGGUCACUGGUAGCCAUCGCAACCAGACAUAUUCAGUUCUGCCAUUAUUAGCUACACACGCUGUCAAAAAUUGGGACAUGUGUUGAUCGGGAUCAGAACUUAGCCAUCCAUUAAACGUGGGUAAUGGAGCCACGCUAGUGGUGCGAUCUCCAAUUGCUCCCAUCUGUACCGCUAUUGGCACUACGGGUGCUUCUUCUGCCAUUGGUGCUUGCGCUGGUCUUCUUGCUAUAUUAAUAUGAAUUCUUCUUUUUGUUCCAAUUUGAUAUUUGUUCACUCUUCUUUCUUGUAAACUAUCGCUAUUAUUCAUUUCUUUUGUACUUAAACUUCUUAUAAUUACUGAACUUGACUCUGACGCUUCGUUACUCGCGGUAUCCCCUACAAGCGCUCGCGGUAAUUUCUCCAAUGGUAUAUAAUGGUGUAAUAUUGCACUUCUUUCAGAACUUGGAUAUGCUCGAAUACUCGCACAUGCAUGCAGCCACGGCUUUAUCCAACUCCAUCGACGUUUCUUAUGUUGAAUCCCUUCUUGUUGUUGUCGUAAUAAAUUUCUGAAAUAAAAUCGCUCCUGUCUUUCUUUUACUUGUUGAUUCCUUCUGUGAUUAUCAUAGUCGUAAUCACCACUCAUACUCCUUCGAUCUCGUCUUUUGUACCAUCAAUUCUUUAACAUUUCAUACUGUUGUCAAUCCCCGGAAGCGGCGCCAAAAAUGUAAUUGUCGUUUGACUCGGACUCAAAACACCAAGAUAUUUGAUCAGUAUAGGUGGGUUCGAUCUCGGGGAAAGACUCGUUGUAUGAAUUGGAUAUGUUAUGUCACAAUUGAUUAUGUAUUAAUUAUCUAAAACUUCCAAAGUUCUCUUCCUCAUCUCAAUUCAAUCCCUUCACAAUCUCUACAAUCGUUCACUGCCCUGCAGCUACUCAAUAUCACUGACAUUCCUGACAUCUACAGGAUGCUUAAUCUCUUUCCACAGUACUUCAAUUCUCAAUUCCUUUACUUUUAUUCAAUCUUCCAGUGCUACUAUCACAAUGCAAUAAUCUCUAUUAUCACAAUCACACUUUCUUUCUCCAAAUUAAUUAAUUCGAAUUCAUAAUUUUCAAUAUCUCAAUCACAGUUUCAGCAAUCCUUUUCUUAAAUCUAAUACUAAAGAAAAACACAAAAACAAAGAAAACAAAAGGGUAGCUCCAAGCUUUACCCUAGCUCACGACUAUCACAGUCUGGCCCCCAUUCCUUCUUCCUCAACCUCUUUAUCCUACCAAAAUAUGAAUCGUCAUUCAGCAGAUUCCAUAGAUUGUAAAACUUUGGCUUCUUAACCGCAUAUGUUCCUAACUUCCUACUAUUAACAACUAAUCAAACUAACCAUUCAUCUAAAUUCCAACAUUACUACUAUUUAAUCGAUAACGAACCAAAAAAGUUAUUUAUACAUUCUACACCCACACGUAGAAAAACUUGCCUUGUAAGUCAAGGCAUGUGCCCUACAAAGUCAACACAUAUUGGAGGUCCUAUAGAACGUCGCCACGUAGCUCUUAGUUAGAUAGUAUAUAUAGAGACAAGAGUGAAGGCUUCUUCACUCUUGUCAACUCCUUUCUUGCUUCCAGUCUAGUUUCAAGGGUCUCUAGUUUUGUUGUCUUUUGGCAAUAGCCAUUCCAGUUUCUCUUUCAAUAUACAUAUUUGUUUAUUUAUAUUUUUUUACCUUUUUUUUUGAGUGAAGGCUCACUUGUUUGAAUUCCUUUUUCAUCGAGUUCUUGUCCUUGACAGCACCUCCUCUUGCACAUUUGACUUAUAAAGACAAAUUUGAGUGAAGUAAUGAAGCCAAAAUAUUAUUUGAUGCUUUGAAGAAGGAAUUUAUUUAUAUACCAAUCUAUUAUUGUGUCAACUUUUUGAAGGUAUUUUUUAUAUAAAUAAAUGUAUCAAACUUUAUUUGAGAUGUAGUAUUGUCAAAAUUGGGAGCAUAUCAUAAAUUCCAUCUAAUAGCUUUUUAAUCCAAGAAAUUUUCAGCAACAAAGAUCAAUUACAAAAUCUAUGAUAAAAAACUUUCUGGAAUUUUUGAUUCUUUUAAAAAUGGCAUGAUUAUUUAAAAAGCACUUUUAAUCUAAUCACGAUGUAUACAUAUCAUAAGAAUUUCAAGUACUUUAUAUCAAUACAACUCUUGAAUUAUACCUAGAUUUGUUGCAUCAUGUCAUUAUCAAUAUUUUAUUUUAAGAUAACAUAUCAAGUUGAAAAACAACAAGGUUUAUCAAAUGCACUUUUUAAACAUUCUUAUUUUGUACCAAAAGAAAAAAAAUGGAGCUUUUGAUCAACAAAGAAUAUUUAUCUUGAAGCUUGAGUAAUUUCAUCUCCAAAUGAUAAAAUCAAUAUUGACUGUUGAUUCAAUCUUUAUCAAGAAAAUUCAAUCAAGUAUGUCCUUUAAUCCUCUUGUUCAUGAUAUCACAAAUAGUUCUUCUAAGUCUCAUGAUACUUCCAAGUUAAAGUUUAAGAAAAACCUAUUCUAUUUCAAAGAUCACCAAUAUAUUCUAAUAAGAGAAACAUGUCUACGUGUUCUUCAAUUAAGUCAUAAUUUUUUAGUAGCAUGAUAUUUUGGAUACAAUAAGAUUUUGGACCUUAUAUCUAGAGAUUUUUGGUGGUUGCAAGUAAGGAAGGCAGUGAAAUACUUUAUAUGGUCAUGUGACAUUUGUUCAAGAUCAAAAAUUCUUUGUCAUUAAUCCUAUAGACUUCUCAAAUCUUUGUGUCUAUUGGAACAAGUAUGGUCUUCUAUUUCUAUGGAUUUUAUUAUAGAUAUUCUAAGUUUAAAUUCAUGUGACUUUAUAUUCGUAAUUGUAGAUUGCUUCACCUAAAUAAUAAAUUUUGUAUUAUAUACAAAAUCUAUUUCAAGUGAAGAAAUAGUUAAGCUAUUCUUUGAUAAUAUCUAUCACUAUCAUCAAUUAUCAAAUGAUAUUAUAUCAAUUAGAGAGAUACAAUUUAUAUGAAGAUUUUGAAAAAUUAUUUUAAAAAUAUUAAAGGUAGACAUAAAAUUAUCUUUGGCCUUUCAUCCUAAAAUUGAUAAAAAAAAAACAAGAUAGGUGAAUCAAGUUCUAAAGCAAUAUUUAAAGUAUACCAUCAACUAUCAUCAAGAUGUUUGAACAAUUCUUUUGCCAUUGGUAGACAUUACAUAUAAUAAUUCGAUACAUUCUUCUACUCAAUAAACACUUUUUUUUGCCAAUUAUGGUUAUCAUCUAUGACUUCAUACUUUUGACUUUUUAAAUGUUAAUAAUCUUACAACAAAAGAUUUCACAAAUCAUUUGUCAAAGCUACAUGUAAUAAUGAAGGCGUAAUUAAAAGAAGCUCAAGAAUGACAAAAGAUCAAUGUGGAUGCCUAUUGCAAGGAGCAACCAUAAUUCAAUGUAGAUAACAAGAUAUGAUUAUUUUGUUGUAAUAUUAAGACUACUUAUCUUUAUGAUAAGUUGAACUAUCAUAGGCUUAGACCUUUUUUUAUUUGUGAAUAAGUCAAUUAUGUUAUUUAUUAAUUGUAUCUACCAAAAUCUAUGAAAAUCUAUCCUAUAUUCUAUAUAUUUCUUUUUGAGCCAUAUAAGAUAGUAAAUAUGUCAAGAAGAAGACAAAUGCCAUCUCUUCUUACAAAAAUGGAUAACAAUCAAGAAUUUGAUGUAGAAGAAGUCUUAGAUUCAAGGUGCUACAAAAAUAGAUUAAAAUAUCUUAUUCAUUGGCACAAAUAUGAGUUUAAUGAAUGCACAUGGGAGCCAACAAAGAAUCUUCCAAAUGCAGCAAAGAAAAUUAAGACUUUUCAUCGACAAUCUAUCAAAAUCAAGUUAAAAAUAAUAAAUUCUAUAAAAGAUGAUAAUUGCUCUUCAUACAACUCGUUCCUAGAAGGAGAAGAUAAUAUUACAAACAUACAUAUUUAUUCCAAUAAUUUCUUAUAUAACUAUGUAGAUAUAAAAUAAAAUAAAAAAUUCAUAAUAUCGUCUAAUAGAGCUUCCCAAAAGCUUCAUAGAUGCAAUUUUGACUUUGCACUUCUUUGUAGUUGAUUAGUAGGUUAGAAACUUGAUCAAUAAGUUAAUCAUGUGUGACACAUAUUCAUAACUUAUAGAAUAAGCUAACUAUGUAGCAUACAUAUACAAAACUUGCCUUGCAAGCUAUGAUAUGUAUCUUACGAAGUCAACUUGUAUUGGAGGUCCUAUAGAACAUUGCCACAUAACUUUUAGUUAGAUAGUAUAUAUGGAGGCUAGAGUGAAGCCUCCUACACUCAUGUCAAUGUCUUUUUAGUUCUUAGUCUUAUUUCAAGACUUUCUAGUCCUUUUGUUUUUGGCAACAAUGAUUCUAGUUCAAUAUAUUACCAUCUUUGAAUGACACAAGAGUGUAGAGAUUUUUCUUUUCUUUUUCUUUUUUUUUUUUUUUUUUUUGAGAUUCAUGUCCUUGACAAGAGGACAAAGAUGGAAAUGGAUGGAAGUAAUCAUUUUGGAGCAAGGGGGUGUGAAAAAAUUGGGGGAAAAAAGAAGAAGAAAAGAUCCCUUCUACAUGUGCUAAAAAUAAAAUAAAAUAAACAAUAAAUAAUAAUAAUAAUAAAUAUAAAUAAAAAACAAGGUUAUACAAUACACUUGACUUCAGCCCAUUGCAAUAACAGGCACUAAGGGGAGUUCGAAGGACGAGCGAUGCCAGCUCAGCAACCGAGUGCCAGCCUGGACAGAGUGACGUGUAAAGUGGCUGAGCUGGACCAAAAGGAGGAAGACCACAAGCCUCCUUUCUGACUCUCUGCAAAAGACAGCAGCGCGACAGCCACACGGAAAAGGUAAAGGAGAGGAGGAAGGAUCAGGGAAGGCGGGAAAGGGAAUUGGAAGGAAAGGCAAAAAGUGAAAGGAAGGGAGGGCAGGGGGGUCGGUUGCUUGGGAUGCUGUUGUCAGAAGCCUGAACCUCCUUCCGUCAGUCCGUCCGUCCGUACGUCUAUCCUUCCAUCCGUCCAUUUGUCCUUGUGUUCCGUCCAUUCGUCCUUUUCGUCCGUCCAUGAAAUGCUACCUGCCCCUGUACUGCCCUCCCACCUUCCAGUUGGCCAGUACAUGUGCUUUAUCCGAUGUCGUCAUCCCCAUCCAUAAUGUCCUCCUUCAGGUGUGAACAUGCCAAAGGAAAACGUUUAUCUUUUACUUUUACUUUUUUUAAAAUCCAUUUUCGAUAUUUCAAUUGGCCUUCUAAAUACAUGAGUUGAGCAAUAUUUGGGGUGGGUAUGGGUUCUAUUUUUUUAUACGGAAAAAAACAUGGAUUUCUUCUGAAGAGAUUCAUCCAACGGAUGUCAUCUUGGGUUUUCAUCCAUUUGUUUGUUUUUUUUUGUUUUUUUUUUUUUUAAUAUUAAUUGAAGGCUUUGAACACAUUUUUAUAUGUUUUUGGUGGGAAUUGUGUCAAUAGGCAUUGUCCAAUGAACAUGUUUGACAUGUGUUGAUAGUUAAGUGUUAAGUGGCAUUUAUUCUUCAAUUUAGUUUCAAAGCACAAACACA